GAUGAACGCUAGCGGCAGGCUUAAUACAUGCAAGUCGUGGGGCAGCAGAUUUGUAGCAAUACAGAUGCUGGCGACCGGCAAACGGGUGCGGAACACGUACAGAACCUUCCUUUGAGCGGGGAAUAGCCCAGAGAAAUUUGGAUUAAUACCCCAUAGUAUAAUGAAGUGGCAUCACUUUAUUAUUAAAGAUUUAUCACUCGAAGAUGGCUGUGCGGCUGAUUAGGUAGUUGGCGGGGUAAAGGCCCACCAAGCCUGCGAUCAGUAACUGGUGUGAGAGCACGACCAGUCACACGGGCACUGAGACACGGGCCCGACUCCUACGGGAGGCAGCAGUAAGGAAUAUUGGUCAAUGGAGGCAACUCUGAACCAGCCAUGCCGCGUGGAGGAUGAAGGUCCUCUGGAUUGUAAACUUCUUUUAUAUGGGACGAAAAAAGGCUUUUCUAAGUCGUCUGACGGUACCAUAUGAAUAAGCACCGGCUAACUCCGUGCCAG
RNAcentral lists this ribosomal RNA (492 nucleotides) under uncultured bacterium. RNAcentral's name for it is "bacterial SSU rRNA". It matches the Rfam family "Bacterial small subunit ribosomal RNA", at positions 28 to 511 of the family's 1533-position model. The record is from RNAcentral.